UACGUAGGAGGCAAGCGUUGUCCGGAAUUACUGGGCGUAAAGCGCGUGUAGGUGGUGGGACAAGUCUGCUGUGAAAGCGCCUGGCUUAACCGGGCGAGGUCGGCGGAAACUGUCCGACUAGAGGGACGGUAGGGGGGGGUGGAAUUCCCGGUGUAGUGGUGAAAUGCGUAGAGAUCGGGAGGAACACCUGUGGCGAAGGCGGCCCCCUGGGCCGGCCCUGACACUGAGACGCGAAGGCGUGGGGAGCGAACGGG
This 254-nucleotide ribosomal RNA is filed under the name uncultured bacterium. RNAcentral's name for it is "partial 16S ribosomal RNA". It matches the Rfam family "Bacterial small subunit ribosomal RNA", at positions 524 to 776 of the family's 1533-position model. The record is from RNAcentral.